GGGUUGCAGCAGUGGGAUGCUCAGGAGUUGUUCGACGCCAUCCGAGAGAUCGACCCCGACCUGCCUUACACGCAGGAGGUCGGCGGUUCGAAUCCGUCAGCGCCCA
This 106-nucleotide transfer RNA is filed under the name Gemmatimonadota bacterium. RNAcentral describes it as "tRNA-Val". Lineage: Bacteria; Pseudomonadati; Gemmatimonadota. The record is from RNAcentral.